RNAcentral lists this ribosomal RNA (497 nucleotides) under uncultured bacterium. RNAcentral's name for it is "partial 16S ribosomal RNA". It matches the Rfam family "Bacterial small subunit ribosomal RNA", at positions 28 to 507 of the family's 1533-position model. The record is from RNAcentral.
GAUGAACGCUGGCGGCGUGCCUAAUACAUGCAAGUCGAGCGAACAGACGAGGAGCUUGCUCCUCUGACGUUAGCGGCGGACGGGUGAGUAACACGUGGAUAACCUACCUAUCAGACUGGGAUAACUUCGGGAAACCGGAGCUAAUACCGGAUAAUAUAUUGAACCGCAUGGUUCAAUAGUGAAAGACGGUUUUGCUGUCACUUAUAGAUUGAUCCGCGCCGCAUUAGCUAGUUGGUAAGGUAACGGCUUACCAAGGCAACGAUGCGUAGCCGACCUGAGCGGGUGAUCGGCCACACUGGAACUGAGACACGGUACAGACUCCUACGGGAGGCAGCAGUAGGGAAUCUUCCGCAAUGGGCGAAAGCUUGACGGAGCAACGCCGCGGGAGUGAUGAAGGUCUUCGGAUCGUAGAACUAUGUUAUUAGGGAAGAACAAAUGUGUAAGUAACUAUGCACGUCUUGACGGUACCUAAUCAGAAAGCCACGGCUAACUACGUG